This is a long non-coding RNA of Girardinichthys multiradiatus, 707 nucleotides long. RefSeq lists it as uncharacterized. Lineage: Eukaryota; Metazoa; Chordata; Actinopteri; Cyprinodontiformes; Goodeidae. The record is from RefSeq and is a predicted model, not a curated record. The transcript has 2 exons.
UCCACUAAGUCCCCAAAACUGUGCUCCACAAAUACUUUAAAAGGGGUGGAGGAUUCUUCCAAGCUUUUAUAGCUAAGUGUUGUCUUCUUGUCAAUCUGUGUGCUGUUCUAUUUUCUGGUGUUGUUCACUGUACUUAGCCUCUAGGUGGCACUGGAGACGGUGAAGAGAGGUGACAGGUGUUCCCUAUCUCCUUAAUCAUCCUUGGAGGGUAUUUAAGAUGGAGGCCGCCAGCAAUUCAUCGCCAGUGGUAUAAGCUCAAGCCACAUUAAUUCUUGCUUUGACCUUUGCCUAAAGAAACUUUGUAUGUGCUCCUUCGCAGGCUGUAUACCUGAACCUGACUUUGCCAUCAGUAUUGUUUGCUGUUUUGGAUUUUUGACUCCUGGAGAUAGAUCUCCAACCUUGUGGAUUAAAAACCUGGGCUUCCCACCCACUUCAUCUUCUUGCAACUGGCUGGCAGCUUCCUGUCUGGAUCAACCAUGGACCUCCUCAAGCGAACCCUGUCCACCCUCCGUCACAAUAGAACCACCACCAGAACCUCAGUGCCCAACAACGUGUGCCAAGUACCCACCAGCUUCAGUCUCACCUGUAUGCAGCUCCGUUGUCAUUGUCCCCUCCUGGUGGAUCACGCCUCAUCCCUUUUUGUUUCCCGGUUCCAGAUCCUCUCGUACCAUCACGUUCCCUGUAAAUAAAAUCUUUGUCAAACUUUA